This is an RNA transcript of Setaria italica (foxtail millet), 3409 nucleotides long. It is a transcript of the gene named DNA repair protein XRCC3 homolog, with no coding region annotated. The record is from RefSeq and is a predicted model, not a curated record. Lineage: Eukaryota; Viridiplantae; Streptophyta; Magnoliopsida; Poales; Poaceae. The transcript has 3 exons.
CCCAGCGGGAAACUAUCCGCGACCGUUCAAAACCAGAUUCCCCUUGGCGGCGAGCUCGGCGGCGAUGCGGCCGCCGGCGCCGAAGCCCCCUGCUGCCGCCUCCUCUUCCUCCUACAGCCAGCGCGAGCCCCGCCCGGAGAAUCCGCUUCUCCUCCUUCCUUCCUGCCGAGCCGCCAAGCUCUCCCUCGGCUGCCCCAUCCUCGACCGCCUCCUCUCCGGCGGCCUCCCGGCCGCCUCCGUCACCGAGAUAGCCGGAGAGUCCGCCUCAGGCAAGACCCAGCUGUGCCUCCAGCUCGCCCUCCUCGCCCCGCAGUCUCCGCUCUCCGCCUCCGCCCUCUUCCUCCACUCCGACCUCCCCUUCCCCCUUCACCGCCUCCGCCGCCUCGCCCCCAAAUCCCGCCCCGAUAUCCUCGACCACGUACUCGUCGCCGCCGCGCACUCCCCCACCGACCUCCUCUCCCUCCUCUCCCGCGCCAAGCACCUGCUCGCCCACCCCGGCCGCUCCCCGCACCGGCUCCCCAUCCGCCUCAUCCUCCUCGAUUCCAUCGCCUCCCUCUUCCGCGCCGACUUCGACGCCUCCCCCGCCGACCUCAAGCGCCGGUCCGCGCUCUUCUUCCAGAUAUCCGCGACGCUCAAGGAGCUGGCCUACAGGCACCAGUGCGUGGUGGUGGUGACCAACCAGGUGGUGGACGUGGUGGAGGGCGACGCGGGGAACACCGUGGCGUGGUCGUCGGGGCGCCGGGUGAGCCCCGCGCUCGGGAUUGCGUGGGCCAACUGCGUCAACACGCGACUGUUCCUGACGCGGGAAGUGGACGGCGCCAGCGGGAUCGCGAUGAGGCGAAUGAAGGUGGCGUUCGCGCCGCACCUGCCGGAGCGGGCGUGCGAGUUUGUGAUACGGAGGGACGGCGUGUUUGGCGUCGAGCAGGCGGAGAGAGGCAUGUUGCUGCAGCAAUGGUAGAGUUUAUCAGAUCCACGAUCAACAUAUGUUUUUGUUGGUGGUACAUGACAGACAUCCUGAAGUACAAUUGAGGUUUGUGUAAUGAUCCACAGCUUGUCCAUAUAAAUUAAAAUUUCCCUAUUACUGCUUUGAGAAAAAUUUAAUAACAAAUCCGAUUAAUGUUAAUGCACAGUUAACUAGUUAAGGGAGAACUGAAAAGUAAAAAAAAAUGAAUAGCUGAUCAUCACUGGUUGUACCUAACAUUUCAGUUCAACAUCUCAAAAAAAGGUUACAGUUCAAAUGUUCUGUACAUUUUACUUUAAUUUGUAUACAAUUGAUCUUUCUGACAUUAUUUUGUAACUGAAACAUGCUUUAACCAAAAAAAAAAAACCUCGACCUGUGAGGGGUAAGACAGUCCCCCGGGCAUUUUGGUAAGAGAAGACCUUCUCAUGAAACAUGCUUUAACACACUUGGAAGUAUAAUUCUGUCAUGGAAGGUAUCCUGUUUCGGAAAACAGGAGUAACUAAACUGUCAUAAACUCCACUGUUGGAGCUUCCAGCACAACGCUGAAAUGUAAAAAUGUUCAUGUUUCCUUCCUAAAUCAGAUCAGCGGAAAUAUCUGCAAUCAGUCCAUUGACUUGGACAGGUGAGAUGUCUCAUACAGUUCUGAAGGCAAUUCAGUGGAUUGCUACCUUCUGUUAUCUUAACUUCAUCACAGUAGAGCUCCACUGCUAUUGCGCACAGCAAAAUUUUUUAACCAAAUGUCCUUUGCUCAAGGCUGUCUAGGUAGGCAGUCUAAGGCUGGGGCCGUGGUGACUAGGAAGAUACCUGUUGGUAGUAAUGUUGGCAGUUAACUUUCUUAGUAUGUCCCUUUUUUACUUUUACUCAACAGCUGGUCCGUGGUGACUACUGACUAGUAAUAUUUGGUACUUCGGUUGAAUAAAAUGUGGCUCGGCAGUUCGCCACUUGAGGUUGGUGUAACAAAACCAAUAAAGUGACUCCUUUAGCUUAGCAUGCUGGGUUAAUCAGGCUGGAAAAGGUAAAUUUCAGUCUUGUGCUCAAGGUUCUUGGUUACUGUAAGUUUAUUGUAUUGUUGAAUAGCCAAGCAACCAGUUUGCAAAAUUCCCUUGUUCGAUCAAACUCUUCAGCACUAAGUGGAUGGAGCCAAGCAACUAAUUCACAGAAGUGGAUGGUCUACCGGCGACCAUCACUGUUGCAUGAUUUAAGUUAUGCAGCUUUCUACUUCAAACCUGCUUUAGUUGGUUGAUCAUAACAAGAUAACUAAUGGAUAGGACCAUGCAAUUUGUAAGCUUCCAUAGCUGUCUUAUAAGACAGCCAUGUUAAGCCUUCAAGGACUUGCAAUAAAUUUCAGGUUAGUGCAUUGUGUUUAACUUGGCCUGGUCUCCAUAUAUGGCAAGUAACGCAGAGCAAAUCAAGGAACAGUUCAGAGGUGCUGAGCACAGACAAAAGUGCCUACAAAGAGCACCAGCAAAUCAUCUCAUGCAUCUCUAGCCAUGAAUCUGCAACUAUGUUAAGCGCACCUGAGUCCAUGGAUAUGCAGAUGGAUAAGGAUGGACUCAAUUUAAACUUGACGCUCCAUCAGUCAUAUCCUCCAAGGCUUCCAACAAUAUUUUCUUGCAGCUGCUGUCCUCAGAAGUUCCAGAGUGCUCAGGCCUUAGGUGGCCACCAGAAUACACAUAAGCUCCAGCAUCACUUUGGGAAGAGGAAUCGAGAGGCCAAGUACUGCAAGGAUUAGGUGAUUCAACAUUAUCUAGCACAAUGAUCCACAGAGUUCUUCAACAGGAAGUAUGCUUGCAAUGGACAUUAACAAAUGGGAUAAUCGACUUGUCUUUGAAGUUACAACAUGCUAUCCCCUUUCUAAUUUGUAUGCCGUUUCCUUCCUAUCAUGGUCUGAAUCUUUGCAGGCUUCACAUCUACUCCCUCUGUUCCAAAAUGUAGGUCGUUUUAGUUUUUCUAGAUACAUAGUUUUUACUAUGCAUCUAUAUAUAGAGUUAUGUCUAGAUACAUAGCAAAAUCUAUGUACCUAGAAAAGUCAAAACGACUUACAUUAUGAAACGGAGGGAGUAUUUAACAAUGCCUGCAGUGGUUAUGAUCCAUGAUGCCUUGUGGUGGAUCCAACAUUUCCCACAAAUUGAAGUGGACAAGAUCACCAAGUUUGCAGCCUGCUUCUGGUGAUAGCAGGUUCAACGAAUACGAUCAAACAUUGUCCAUGCUUUGGAUACCCUUUGAACAAAAUUAUAGGUUGUCAUAGUUGCGAUGCGAUCUGCACCUAAAGCACAAACAAAUCAUGUCCUUUUAUCGUCAGCUAUCAGUUUAUGAAGCUAUUUGAAUACUCUUAUAAUGGAUUAUAGGGUCAAUGAAGGUUAUUCAUGUAUUCUUAGCUACACAAGUUAGCAGAUUUUCCCAUUUAUUGUAAAGCUGUUUAUAAAGUUCAUCUCUAUAAUUUCUGCA